AACGAACGCUGGCGGCAGGCCUGAUACAUGCAAGUCGAGCGCCCAGCAAUGGGAGCGGCGCACGGGUGCGUAACGCGUGGGAAUAUGCCUUUAGGUACGGAACAACCAAGGGAUACUUUGGCUAAUACCGUAUAAUAUCUUCGGAUCAAAGAAUUUCGCCUAAAGAUUAGCCCGCGUCUGAUUAGCUAGUUGGUGGGGUAAAGGACUACCAAGGCGACGAUCAGUAGCUGGUCUGAGAGGAUGAUCAGCCACACUGGAACUGAGACACGGUCCAGACUCCUACGGGAGGCAGCAGUAAGGAAUAUUGGACAAUGGGGGCAACCCUGAUCCAGCCAUGCCGCGUGAGUGACGAAGGCCUUAGGGUUGUAAAGCUCUUUUGGUGGGGAAGAUAAUGACCGUACCCACAGAAUAAGCCCCGGCUAAAUUCGUGCCAGCCGCCGCGGUAA
This 446-nucleotide ribosomal RNA is filed under the name uncultured bacterium. RNAcentral describes it as "partial 16S ribosomal RNA". It matches the Rfam family "Bacterial small subunit ribosomal RNA", at positions 29 to 523 of the family's 1533-position model. The record is from RNAcentral.